CGCCGCGUGCGGGAUGAAGGCCUUCGGGUUGUAAACCGCUUUCACCAGGGACGAAGCGAGAGUGACGGUACCUGGGGAAGAAGCGCCGGCUAACUACGUGC
RNAcentral lists this ribosomal RNA (101 nucleotides) under uncultured bacterium. RNAcentral describes it as "partial 16S ribosomal RNA". It matches the Rfam family "Bacterial small subunit ribosomal RNA", at positions 395 to 508 of the family's 1533-position model. The record is from RNAcentral.